This 1087-nucleotide ribosomal RNA is filed under the name uncultured organism. RNAcentral describes it as "bacterial SSU rRNA". It matches the Rfam family "Bacterial small subunit ribosomal RNA", at positions 318 to 1416 of the family's 1533-position model. The record is from RNAcentral.
ACUGAGACACGGUCCAGACUCCUACGGGAGGCAGCAGUGAGGAAUAUUUGCGCAAUGGGGGAAACCCUGACGCAGCCUAUGCCGUGUGAGUGAGGAAGGCCCUAGGGUUGUAAAGCUCUUUCAGAUGCGAAGAUUAUGACGGUCACCUCAGAAGAAGCCCCCGGGUAAAUUCGUGCCAGCAGGCGCGGUAAUAAGAAUGGGGCGAGCGUUGUGCGGAAUCACUGGGCGUAAAGCGUAUGUAGGCGGACUUGAAUGUCAGAAGUGAAAUCGCGGGGCUCAACCCCGGAAUUGCUUUUGAACUCCAAAGUCUCGAGUCCCGGAGGGGGCCAGUAGAAUUCCAUAGUGUAGAGGUGAAAAUGCGGAGAUAUUAGGAGGAAUACCAUUGGGCGUAGGCCACUGGCUGGACGGGUACUGACGCUGAGAUACGAAAGCGUGGGGAGCAAACAGGAUUAGAUACCCUGGUAGUCCACGCCGUAAACGAUGUGUGCUAGUUGUCGGGUCUUAAAGAUUCGGUGACGCAGCUAACGCACUAAGCACACCGCCUGGGGAGUACGGUCGCAAGAUUAAAACUCAAAGGAAUUGACGGGGACCCGCACAAGCGGUGGAGCAUGUUGUUUAAUUCGAAGCAACGCGAAGAACCUUACCCACACUUGACAUCCUGGUCGGGACUUUCAGAGAUGAUUGUUUUCGGUUCGGCCGGACCAGUGACAGGUGCUGCACGGCUGUCGUCAGCUCGUGUCGUGAGAUGUUUGGUUAAGUCCAGCAACGAGCGCAACCCCUAUCGUAUGUUGCCAGCAUUUAGUUGGGCACUCAUGCGAGACUGCCGGUGUUAAGCCGGAGGAAGGUGGGGACGACGUCAAGUCAUCAUGGCCCUUACGUGUGGGGCUACAAACGUGCUACAAUGGGAGUGACAGUGGGCAGCGAUGUCGCGAGGCAAAGCUAAUCCCUAAAAGCUCUCUCAGUUCGGAUAGGACUCUGCAACUCGAGUCCUUGAAGUCGGAAUCGCUAGUAAUCGUGGAUCAGCACGCCACGGUGAAUACGUUCCCGGGUCUUGUACACACCGCCCGUCACACCAUGGGAGUUGUUU